RNAcentral lists this ribosomal RNA (253 nucleotides) under uncultured bacterium. RNAcentral's name for it is "partial 16S ribosomal RNA". It matches the Rfam family "Bacterial small subunit ribosomal RNA", at positions 524 to 776 of the family's 1533-position model. The record is from RNAcentral.
UACGAAGGGAGCUAGCGUUGUUCGGAAUUACUGGGCGUAAAGGGCGCGUAGGCGGUUCGACAAGUUGGAUGUGAAAGCCCAGGGCUCAACCCUGGAAUUGCAUUCAAGACUGUUUUACUUGAAUUCGGUAGAGGUGAGUGGAAUUCCCAGUGUAGAGGUGAAAUUCGUAGAGAUUGGGAAGAACACCGGUGGCGAAGGCGGCUCACUGGACCGACAUUGACGCUGAGGCGCGAAAGCGUGGGGAGCAAACAGG